UGGGGAAUUUUGGACAAUGGGCGCAAGCCUGAUCCAGCCAUGCCGCGUGCAGGAUGAAGGCCUUCGGGUUGUAAACUGCUUUUGUACGGAACGAAAAGGUGCCUUCUAAUAAAGGGCGCUCAUGACGGUACCGUAAGAAUAAGCACCGGCUAACUACGUGCCAGCAGCCGCGGUAAUACGUAGGGUGCGAGCGUUAAUCGGACUUACUGGGCGUAAAGCGUGCGCAGGCGGUUUCGUAAGACAGAGGUGAAAUCCCCGGGCUCAACCUGGGAACUGCCUUUGUGACUGCAAGGCUGGAGUGCGGCAGAGGGGGAUGGACUUCCGCGUGUAGCAGUGAAAUGCGUAGAUAUGCGGAGGAACACCGAUGGCGAAGGCAAUCCCCUGGGCCUGCACUGACGCUCAUGCACGAAAGCGUGGGGAGCAAACA
This 427-nucleotide ribosomal RNA is filed under the name uncultured bacterium. RNAcentral describes it as "bacterial SSU rRNA". It matches the Rfam family "Bacterial small subunit ribosomal RNA", at positions 355 to 774 of the family's 1533-position model. The record is from RNAcentral.